Long non-coding RNA from Capsicum annuum, 1209 nucleotides. RefSeq lists it as uncharacterized. The record is from RefSeq and is a predicted model, not a curated record. NCBI's taxonomy places the organism in Eukaryota, Viridiplantae, Streptophyta, Magnoliopsida, Solanales, Solanaceae. The transcript has 4 exons.
UUUGUAACGGCAAUGACAUGAAUGAGCCCAACUCUUCACGGAUGGCACAAAUACAAAAGGGUUUAGUACCAAUAGCGGAGGAGGGGUCACCCGAGGAGAAAGUGUACUCAUACGAGGAGAAGAGGUGGAAAACACUUGUUGACGGAGAUGCAGAGUGGGAAAAAGACAUCAUUUGUGGGAAAUAAAAAACUGUUUGUUACCAAUAGAUGAGGAGGUAUUCACACCCGAAGAAAGAGAACUGGAAGAAAAGAGGAAGAGGAAAAAAGAAAUUCUAUCGAUAUUGCCCCUUUUGGAGCAGGAUGGGAUCUUGCAUAUUACGACAUGAAAGAUGGGAAAUUUCCUUCGCCGCUGCCAACAGAUCUUCCGCCGCCUCCUUCAGAUGUCUGGGAACAGUUGCGCGUAAAAAGACAACAUAUUGCAAGUGUGACCCAAACAACAGGAUCUAGCACUCCCGUGAGCUCAAACUUUGCAACAGAUGAAAGAUGUCGCAUCGGUACCCUAUGGCUAGAUGGAUCCCCCAGAAAUUGGCCAAAUUUCUAAGGCAUAUGCCCGUCAGUGUCGCCAAACGCAUUUUUUUGAUAUUGAUGACUACUUCGAAGGGUCAGUAUUUCCAUUUAGCCGAAUCAGAGGCAAUAGGGAGGCUGAAAUUAUGAUGGAACUUGCAAACCUUGCUAUCCAGGAAUAUAACGAGAAAGAAAGCAAUGAUUUCAAGUAUAAAGUUUUGAAGAUUGAAAAAGUGAAUUUUACUGUACUGUGGGAUUGUACGAGACGUAUUGGAUGACCGUCAUAGUAUCUAAUCUCACUCUUGUUACUCCUAUUGAAACUUUUCAAAUCCAUGCUGCUUUUACUAGCUUCAAUGAUGAUAGUAAGGUCCAUUGUUUCCGGCCUAAAGAAGAGCCUAUUAUUGGUUUGCCAAGCUGCGAGUUUUGCUUUGGCCUGCUGCCAAAAGGGCAUGUUGCGGGAGGACAGGAACCAUAGUUAUUUAAAUGUCUACCCCUUGUGAUUUCAUUAUUAUAAUUUGAAUAUUCCAUCGUAUCCUGUUUUUAGGCUAAAAUUUAAGAGAUUAUAAGACUCUUCAUGGUUUAUUUUUCUUAAAUAGAGGAAUACAAAAAGUAGAAAAGGCUUAUGAGAGUUCAUGAUUUUGACAAGUAUUGGAAUGCUUUUGCUUCACUUCACCAUACUAUUUUAUGAACAAACACUAGAUUCGAU